UGGGGAAUUUUGGACAAUGGACGCAAGUCUGAUCCAGCCAUGCCGCGUGCGGGAAGAAGGCCUUCGGGUUGUAAACCGCUUUUGUCAGGGAAGAAACGAGUUUCUCUAAUACAGAGACUUAAUGACGGUACCUGAAGAAUAAGCACCGGCUAACUACGUGCCAGCAGCCGCGGUAAUACGUAGGGUGCAAGCGUUAAUCGGAAUUACUGGGCGUAAAGCGUGCGCAGGCGGUUAUGCAAGACAGAUGUGAAAUCCCCGGGCUCAACCUGGGAACUGCAUUUGUGACUGCAUAGCUGGAGUGCGGCAGAGGGGGAUGGAAUUCCGCGUGUAGCAGUGAAAUGCGUAGAUAUGCGGAGGAACACCGAUGGCGAAGGCAAUCCCCUGGGCUUGCACUGACGCUCAUGCACGAGAGCGUGGGGAGCAAACA
Molecule: ribosomal RNA, 427 nt
Filed under: uncultured bacterium
Lineage: Bacteria
Description: bacterial SSU rRNA
Rfam family: Bacterial small subunit ribosomal RNA
Source: RNAcentral